GCAAGUCGCGGGGCAGCAGGUCCGUAGCAAUACGGAUGCUGGCGACCGGCAAACGGGUGCGUAACACGUACGCAACCUUCCUUCAGGCAGGGAAUAGCCCGGGGGAACCCGGAUUAAUACCCCAUAAAAUUUUGGGAUGGCAUCAUCCUAUUAUUAAAGCUUCGGCACCUGAUGAUGGGCGUGCGGCUGAUUAGGUAGUUGGCGGGGUAACGGCCCACCAAGCCAGCGAUCAGUAGCUGAUGUGAGAGCAUGAUCAGCCACACGGGCACUGAGACACGGGCCCGACUCCUACGGGAGGCAGCAGUAAGGAAUAUUGGUCAAUGGACGAAAGUCUGAACCAGCCAUGCCGCGUGGAGGAUGAAGGUCCUCUGGAUUGUAAACUUCUUUUAUUUGGGACGAAAAAGGGGAAUUCUUUCCCACUUGACGGUACCAGAUGAAUAAGCACCGGCUAACUCCGUGCCAGCAGCCGCGGUAAUACGGAGGGUGCAAGCGUUAUCCGGAUUCGCUGGGUUUAAAGGGUGCGUAGGCGGAUAGGUAAGUCCGUGGUGAAAUCCUGCAGCUUAACUGCAGAACUGCCAUGGAUACUAUCUAUCUUGAAUGUCGUGGAGGUUAGCAGAAUAUGUCAUGUAGCGGUGAAAUGCUUAGAUAUGACAUAGAAUACCCAUUGCGAAGGCAGCUAACUACGCGAUAAUUGACGCUGAUGCACGAAAGCGUGGGGAUCAAACAGGAUUAGAUACCCUGGUAGUCCACGCCCUAAACGAUGAUUACUCGACAUUAGCGAUACACAGUUAGUGUCUGAGCGAAAGCAUUAAGUA
Molecule: ribosomal RNA, 815 nt
Filed under: uncultured Sphingobacteriia bacterium
Lineage: Bacteria; Pseudomonadati; Bacteroidota; Sphingobacteriia
Description: bacterial SSU rRNA
Rfam family: Bacterial small subunit ribosomal RNA
Source: RNAcentral